AACGCUAGCUACAGGCUUAACACAUGCAAGUCGAGGGGCAGCAUGAACUUAGCUUGCUAAGUUUGAUGGCGACCGGCGCACGGGUGAGUAACACGUAUCCAACCUGCCGAUGACUCGGGGAUAGCCUUUCGAAAGAAAGAUUAAUACCCGAUGGCAUAGUUCUUCCGCAUGGUAGAACUAUUAAAGAAUUUCGGUCAUCGAUGGGGAUGCGUUCCAUUAGGUUGUUGGCGGGGUAACGGCCCACCAAGCCUUCGAUGGAUAGGGGUUCUGAGAGGAAGGUCCCCCACAUUGGAACUGAGACACGGUCCAAACUCCUACGGGAGGCAGCAGUGAGGAAUAUUGGUCAAUGGACGAGAGUCUGAACCAGCCAAGUAGCGUGAAGGAUGACUGCCCUAUGGGUUGUAAACUUCUUUUAUACGGGAAUAAAGUGAGGCACGCGUGCCUUUUUGUAUGUACCGUAUGAAUAAGGAUCGGCUAACUCCGUGCCAGCAGCCGCGGUAAUACGGAGGAUCCGAGCGUUAUCCGGAUUUAUUGGGUUUAAAGGGAGCGUAGGCGGACGCUUAAGUCAGUUGUGAAAGUUUGCGGCUCAACCGUAAAAUUGCAGUUGAUACUGGGUGUCUUGAGUACAGUAGAGGCAGGCGGAAUUCGUGGUGUAGCGGUGAAAUGCUUAGAUAUCACGAAGAACUCCGAUUG
This 693-nucleotide ribosomal RNA is filed under the name uncultured bacterium. RNAcentral's name for it is "bacterial SSU rRNA". It matches the Rfam family "Bacterial small subunit ribosomal RNA", at positions 32 to 715 of the family's 1533-position model. The record is from RNAcentral.